This 431-nucleotide ribosomal RNA is filed under the name uncultured bacterium. RNAcentral describes it as "partial 16S ribosomal RNA". It matches the Rfam family "Bacterial small subunit ribosomal RNA", at positions 29 to 507 of the family's 1533-position model. The record is from RNAcentral.
AACGAACGCUGGCGGCAGGCCUAACACAUGCAAGUCGAGCGCCCUUUCGGGGGAGCGGCGGACGGGUGAGUAACGCGUGGGAAUAUGCCCUUCUCUACGGAAUAGCCUCGGGAAACUGAGAGUAAUACCGUAUACGCCCUGAGGGGGAAAGAUUUAUCGGGGAAGGAUUAGCCCGCGUUGGAUUAGGUAGUGGGUGGGGUAAUGGCCUACCAAGCCGACGAUGCAUAGCUGGGUUGAGAGGAGGAUCAGCCACACUGGGACUGAGACACGGCCUAGACUCCUACGGGAAGGAGCAGUGGGGAGUCUUAUACAAUGGGGGCAACCGUGAUCUAGCCAUGCCGCGUGAGUGAUGAAGGCCUUAGUGUUGUAAAGCUCUUUCAGCUGGGAAGAUAAUGACGGUACCAGCAGAAGAAGCCCCGGCUAACUCCGUG